Molecule: unclassified non-coding RNA, 240 nt
Filed under: soil metagenome
Description: partial contains 5.8S ribosomal RNA, internal transcribed spacer 2, and large subunit ribosomal RNA
Source: RNAcentral
AACGCACGAGACCUGCGGACCUGCGGAGGGAUCAUUAAAAAUUGAAUUAUCCUGCUUCAACCAUAUUAUGGAUAAUAAAUCCAUAUUCACUUCGUGUGCAUCCAUCGAUCGUAUACUUUGACAGAUCGUUUCUUUUCUCGAUUUGAUUUCAGAAAGAUGUCGUCGGCCGGAGAUCGGAAAUCUCAGGGUCUGUCUGGUGGUCUGUCAAAAGUUUUUUCUCCCGAAUCCUUUCAAAUUUUG